GAGGGUAUAGUUCAGUGGUAGAGUGCAUGCCUUGCAUGCACAGGGUCCUGGGUUCAAUCCCCAGUAUCUCCA
RNAcentral lists this transfer RNA (72 nucleotides) under Camelus bactrianus (Bactrian camel). It matches the Rfam family "tRNA". From Rfam's summary of the family: Transfer RNA (tRNA) molecules are approximately 80 nucleotides in length. The record is from Rfam by way of RNAcentral. RNAcentral also lists the same sequence under 2 other names. Lineage: Eukaryota; Metazoa; Chordata; Mammalia; Artiodactyla; Camelidae.